Molecule: ribosomal RNA, 769 nt
Filed under: Microbacterium sp.
Lineage: Bacteria; Bacillati; Actinomycetota; Actinomycetes; Micrococcales; Microbacteriaceae
Description: bacterial SSU rRNA
Rfam family: Bacterial small subunit ribosomal RNA
Source: RNAcentral
CGUGCUUAACACAUGCAAGUCGAACGGUGAAGCAGAGCUUGCUCUGUGGAUCAGUGGCGAACGGGUGAGUAACACGUGAGCAACCUGCCCCUGACUCUGGGAUAAGCGCUGGAAACGGCGUCUAAUACUGGAUAUGAGCUGCGACCGCAUGGUCAGCAGUUGGAAAGAUUUUUCGGUCUGGGAUGGGCUCACGGCCUAUCAGCUUGUUGGUGAGGUAAUGGCUCACCAAGGCGUCGACGGGUAGCCGGCCUGAGAGGGUGACCGGCCACACUGGGACUGAGACACGGCCCAGACUCCUACGGGAGGCAGCAGUGGGGAAUAUUGCACAAUGGGCGAAAGCCUGAUGCAGCAACGCCGCGUGAGGGAUGACGGCCUUCGGGUUGUAAACCUCUUUUAGCAGGGAAGAAGCGAAAGUGACGGUACCUGCAGAAAAAGCGCCGGCUAACUACGUGCCAGCAGCCGCGGUAAUACGUAGGGCGCAAGCGUUAUCCGGAAUUAUUGGGCGUAAAGAGCUCGUAGGCGGUUUGUCGCGUCUGCUGUGAAAUCCCGAGGCUCAACCUCGGGUCUGCAGUGGGUACGGGCAGACUAGAGUGCGGUAGGGGAGAUUGGAAUUCCUGGUGUAGCGGUGGAAUGCGCAGAUAUCAGGAGGAACACCGAUGGCGAAGGCAGAUCUCUGGGCCGUUACUGACGCUGAGGAGCGAAAGGGUGGGGAGCAAACAGGCUUAGAUACCCUGGUAGUCCACCCCGUAAACGUUGGGAACUAGUUGUG